GGCUCGUUGGUUAGGGGUUUGAUUCUCGCUUUGGGAGCGAGAGGCUCGUUGGUUCAAAUAGGGGACUUUGAGAUUGUCGCUUACAGUUCGAGAGGUCCGGGUUCAAAUCCAGGACAAGCCC
This is a non-coding RNA of Danionella cerebrum, 121 nucleotides long. The record is from the annotation of a GenBank genome assembly. Lineage: Eukaryota; Metazoa; Chordata; Actinopteri; Cypriniformes; Danionidae.